RNAcentral lists this long non-coding RNA (489 nucleotides) under Helianthus annuus (common sunflower). Its description in RNAcentral is "hypothetical non coding rna". Lineage: Eukaryota; Viridiplantae; Streptophyta; Magnoliopsida; Asterales; Asteraceae. The record is from RNAcentral.
AUGAGCGGUCAUGUUCAUAGAAAGCUUUCCUUUGAAAUCUUGCUGAUCUAAGGUUACUAUGUCGCCAUUGUGUUUAACUUUGAGUGCAUAUGGAAGAUCGGAUUCACAUAACGCUGUUGUGGACCGCUAGGAAUAAACUGUGGGUUUGGUCCGUUGCGUAUGUACACACCGUCUAGACAUGGAGGAAGGAACCCGUAUACCACCUCACAUUCGGUCGGGCUCAUCUCAUCAACGGGUGCAAAGUUACCGGUGAGCGUGUAACAUGGGUCGACGGAUAGGUGAAGCGGAGGAUCAAGAAACUUGAUGAUAGCACUGUCAAGUGUGGUAAAUAUUGUUUCAAGUAAAGAAUGCUUAGGUAAAGUUGGUUGAGAUUCAUUGUUUGUGGUAAAAUGUAAGCCCUCAUUGAGUCCGAAAACGGAAACAGUGAGAGUAGUUUGAGAUUUGAAGGUGUUUUUGGCUAGAGAAUUGAAGGGAAUAUGAAUCAGUCCG